GGGAAGUCGGCAAAAUGGAU
Molecule: small nuclear RNA, 20 nt
Filed under: Arabidopsis thaliana (thale cress)
Lineage: Eukaryota; Viridiplantae; Streptophyta; Magnoliopsida; Brassicales; Brassicaceae
Description: snRNA_03572
Source: RNAcentral